RNAcentral lists this ribosomal RNA (500 nucleotides) under uncultured bacterium. Its description in RNAcentral is "partial 16S ribosomal RNA". It matches the Rfam family "Bacterial small subunit ribosomal RNA", at positions 30 to 523 of the family's 1533-position model. The record is from RNAcentral.
AUUGAACGCUGGCGGAAUGCUUUACACAUGCAAGUCGAACGGCAGCACGGACUUCGGUCUGGUGGCGAGUGGCGAACGGGUGAGUAAUGUAUCGGAACGUGCCCAGUCGUGGGGGAUAACGUAGUGAAAAUUACGCUAAUACCGCCUACGCUCUAUGGAUGACAGCGGGGGAUCGCAAGACCUCGCGCGAUCGGAGCGGGCGAUAUCAGAUUAGGUAGUUGGUGGGGUAAAGGCCCACCAAGCCAACGAUCUGUAGCUGGUCUGAGAGGACGACCAGCCACACUGGAACUGAGACACGGUCCAGACUCCUACGGGAGGCAGCAGUGGGGAAUUUUGGACAAUGGGCGAAAGCCUGAUCCAGCCAUUCCGCGUGCAGGAUGAAGGCCCUCGGGUUGUAAACUGCUUUUGUACAGAACGAAAAGGUUUCUACUAAUACUAGGAGCUCAUGACGGUACUGUAAGAAUAAGCACCGGCUAACUACGUGCCAGCAGCCGCGGUAA